AUACGGAAGGUCCAGGCGUUAUCCGGAUUUAUUGGGUUUAAAGGGAGCGUAGGCCGUCUGUUAAGCGUGUUGUGAAAUGUAGAUGCUCAACAUCUGAAUUGCAGCGCGAACUGGCAGACUUGAGUGUGCGCAACGUAGGCGGAAUUCGUGGUGUAGCGGUGAAAUGCUUAGAUAUAUGGAAGAACACCAGUGGCGAAGGCGGCUGUCUAGUCUGUAACUGACGCUGAGGCUCGAAAGCAUGGGUAGC
Molecule: ribosomal RNA, 247 nt
Filed under: uncultured bacterium
Lineage: Bacteria
Description: partial 16S ribosomal RNA
Rfam family: Bacterial small subunit ribosomal RNA
Source: RNAcentral